GCCUCCAGGAUAGCUCAGUCGGUACAGCAUGAGACUCUUAAUCUCAAGGUUGUGUGUUUGAGCCCCAAGUCGGGCA
Molecule: non-coding RNA, 76 nt
Organism: Podarcis lilfordi (Lilford's wall lizard)
Lineage: Eukaryota; Metazoa; Chordata; Lepidosauria; Squamata; Lacertidae
Source: the annotation of a GenBank genome assembly